UACGGGGGGAGCAAGCGUUGUUCGGAUUUACUGGGCGUAAAGGGCGCGUAGGCGGCCAGCACAAGUCAGUUGUGAAAUCUCCGAGCUUAACUCGGAAAGGUCAACUGAUACUGUGCGGCUAGAGUGCAGAAGGGGCAACUGGAAUUCUUGGUGUAGCGGUGAAAUGCGUAGAUAUCAAGAGGAACACCUGCGGCGAAGGCGGGUUGCUGGGCUGACACUGACGCUGAGGCGCGAAAGCCAGGGGAGCAAACGGG
This 254-nucleotide ribosomal RNA is filed under the name uncultured bacterium. RNAcentral describes it as "partial 16S ribosomal RNA". It matches the Rfam family "Bacterial small subunit ribosomal RNA", at positions 524 to 776 of the family's 1533-position model. The record is from RNAcentral.